Molecule: long non-coding RNA, 611 nt
Organism: Prunus persica (peach)
Lineage: Eukaryota; Viridiplantae; Streptophyta; Magnoliopsida; Rosales; Rosaceae
Exons: 2
Source: RefSeq, a predicted model, not a curated record
GUGCUCCAAGAAGACCAAGCAUACCAUACCCACCUCACAACAUUUUAGAUUGUCACGAGCUCUAUUUCACAUGUUUUCCUGCCAUUCACAACCUGAUACCCGGGACUCUCCUCACCUUUAUCCCAUGUUGAUCCUCUCUCUCUCUCUCUCUCUCUCUCUCUCUCUCUCUCUCUCAAGCAACAGACAGGUGUGAAGUUUUUGCCGAUGUUAUUGUAUGUGAUGAUGUUGAUGACAACAAGCUCCAUGAGUGGCUACCAUCCUUGUCUCUUUUCUUUACCCUUUUUUUCGUUGUUUUGUUUUGUUUUGUUUUAUGGUGUUGGAUGUCACUAUGUUUUGUGUGAUUGUACUAUAAUCAUAAAAUAGCUACAUAUUAUUAGGCGUGGCAAUGGAUUGGGUCGUGUCAGGAUAAUAACGUGUUAAGAAUACUCAAUUCAAAUCCAACCCAUUUAAUAAAUGUGUCGUGUCGGGUUCGAGUCAUCUUAAACAGAUUACCUAGUUAAUAACAUGUUUACUUAUUCCUAGUUUCCAAUUUAAAAAGGGAAAACAUUAAAUAGAGGAAACAUGAGACUACAUUAGGUUAAUAAACAAGUUAUUUCAUGUUUAAAUAAUAA